Molecule: long non-coding RNA, 533 nt
Organism: Rosa rugosa (rugosa rose)
Lineage: Eukaryota; Viridiplantae; Streptophyta; Magnoliopsida; Rosales; Rosaceae
Exons: 3
Source: RefSeq, a predicted model, not a curated record
UUGGUGUUGUCCUAUACUUGUAGUUGUGAGUUUGUUUAUUUGAUUUUGAGCAUUCCAGUCUCUGUUUGAGUUAAUUCUGAGAUGUGGGUAGUUAGAAAGAUUGUAACUUUGUGUGGUUUGAUGCAUAAAUUGGGACCUGGAAUUGAAAAUUGAAGAUCAUGAUGGGAUAAUUGGACUCAUGCCUUGUAGUUUGCUGCUUGUAUUUGUGAGUUAUGUGAUGUAUAUAUGCCUUGUGGACUUAUGGAGCUGAUGUAAAUUCCAGAAAUUACUGUGGGCAGAGAUCUGCGGUACCACUUGUCAAGCCUCAUAAUUUCGUGCACGCUGAUGAUUAUUUGGUUUUGGAGGAUGAAAGUGGAAGAGUUAAGCUUGCUGGGACCGUGCUUUCACCAUCUGUAUAUGUAACAGGGAAUAUUGUUGGCUUGCACGGAAAAGAGACCGGUGCAGGUGAAUUCUUAGUACUAGAUGUUCUCGAGGCUGGCUUACCACCCCAGAUUGAGCUGCCACUUAAAUCAAGUACAACAUUAUUACCUCUC